RNAcentral lists this transfer RNA (76 nucleotides) under Klebsiella pneumoniae. RNAcentral describes it as "tRNA-Lys". It matches the Rfam family "tRNA". From Rfam's summary of the family: Transfer RNA (tRNA) molecules are approximately 80 nucleotides in length. Their secondary structure includes four short double-helical elements and three loops (D, anti-codon, and T loops). Further hydrogen bonds mediate the characteristic L-shaped molecular structure. tRNAs have two regions of fundamental functional importance: the anti-codon, which is responsible for specific mRNA codon recognition, and the 3' end, to which the tRNAs corresponding amino acid is attached (by aminoacyl-tRNA synthetases). tRNAs cope with the degeneracy of the genetic code in two manners: having more than one tRNA (with a specific anti-codon) for a particular amino acid; and 'wobble' base-pairing, i.e. permitting non-standard base-pairing at the 3rd anti-codon position. The record is from RNAcentral. RNAcentral also lists the same sequence under 1 other name. Lineage: Bacteria; Pseudomonadati; Pseudomonadota; Gammaproteobacteria; Enterobacterales; Enterobacteriaceae.
GGGUCGUUAGCUCAGUUGGUAGAGCAGUUGACUUUUAAUCAAUUCGUCGCAGGUUCGAAUCCUGCACGACCCACCA